Molecule: transfer RNA, 65 nt
Filed under: Heterocarpus sibogae
Lineage: Eukaryota; Metazoa; Arthropoda; Malacostraca; Decapoda; Pandalidae
Description: tRNA-Thr
Rfam family: tRNA
About the family: Transfer RNA (tRNA) molecules are approximately 80 nucleotides in length. Their secondary structure includes four short double-helical elements and three loops (D, anti-codon, and T loops). Further hydrogen bonds mediate the characteristic L-shaped molecular structure. tRNAs have two regions of fundamental functional importance: the anti-codon, which is responsible for specific mRNA codon recognition, and the 3' end, to which the tRNAs corresponding amino acid is attached (by aminoacyl-tRNA synthetases). tRNAs cope with the degeneracy of the genetic code in two manners: having more than one tRNA (with a specific anti-codon) for a particular amino acid; and 'wobble' base-pairing, i.e. permitting non-standard base-pairing at the 3rd anti-codon position.
Source: RNAcentral
GUUUUGAUAGUUUAAAUAAAACUCCGGUCUUGUAAAUCGAAAAUGAAAUAUAUUUUCUCAAAACA